UUUCCCUGAAACAGACCCAGUCCACCUAUUUCAGUCCAUUUUCCUUUCUCCAACAAACAACGGCUAACAACAGUCAAUAACACGUACACCAACCAAGAGCAACGACAAAAUCAACAACGACAAAUCCUAAGCAAACCCGAUCAGCGUUUCAAUCACUGGAUAAUGAAAAAUUUGGUGGUCUCUUCUCUCCCUUACUCUAUUUCCGUCUCCAUCAACAUCACCUGUCUGUCCAUCACUUUUGUUCAAGAAAAUCAGAGCUCAAUGCUCUACAAUUUCAAGAAAAAUGGGGGAAAUCUAAAGAACUAUUGAAUUCAAGGUGUUUCAAAUUUGAUUCGACGACUACGGAGUUUAAUCCUAUAGGCUCAAGCUGAAUUGCCUCGAAUUCGUCACUUUUUCUUCAGGAUUGAUAGAGAAGAGAUGACCCCUUUCCCUUCUUUAUUUCUUUUCAUCAUCAAUACUUCUGAAAUUUCCCUGUUCUAGAAUUUAAAAAUUUGAUAUUUCUAAACGUUUCUCCAAGAAGCUGUUGCAACCCAUCUUUGCCUAUAAAUACGGGUCUUUCUUUUCACAAUGGGGGGUAGGGAUAGAGAAAAUGAGGGAAUAUUUGAGUUUUAUCACACUCUCCGAUUCACGUAGUUCUCUAUUUACUUUAUUUUCUGAUUUUCGUUAAUACUCUACUUUUUUUAAUCUCUCGCAUCUCGAAGUGGUGUGAAAAAACUAAUUGUCGUCUACCAAUCGUCCUGGUUCCUGCUCAAAAAGAGACUCCCAUCUCUUGCUUUUUCAUCCGGUUAAACCCAACCUGAAUCGCGUCAAGCCUUGUCAAAAUUCAAAAGGUGGACGAUAAUAUACGACUGGUAUACAUUGGAAGCUGUAGAUGCACACUAUUAAAUGGCGCAUGAUGAAAAAUGGAGGGGAAAUAAGCAGGGUUUCAGGCUGAUCUACACUGUAUAUGCAGUAGUAUAAAAAACACAUUAAAAGGAGCUACUGAUAUAUAACGGAUAUACAAGAGCGAAAGUGGAUUGAAAGUUCAUGUCCAAAAGUUGGACAAACUUUUAAGGGCAAAAUUCGGAAAUAACAUACUUAUCCUCUUAGUUAUGACUUUCAUAGCAACAGUUUCAUAAUUACAUAAUAUAGCAAGUUGUAUUUUAUAUUCUUGCAAACUGUUGCUACAAAAAUAUAAAUAUAUAUGAUUUUUACUGUCCUUUCUCAGACUAAGGAGAGAAUAAACCGAGAGGAUAGUCCGUGACAUCGAUAUGUAUUUUGUAUUUUUGCAAACUGUUGCUACAAAAAUACAAAUACAUACAAAUACAUAUGCUAUAAAAUGUAAUUUGAUAAAAGUGUUGUUAUUUUUUGUAAUUUAAUACUUUAUGUAUUUUUUUCAACUUUUAAUGGCCAGAAAGGGCCCAAUCUCAACUCUUCUCUAUUUACUUCAA
Molecule: long non-coding RNA, 1430 nt
Organism: Capsicum annuum
Lineage: Eukaryota; Viridiplantae; Streptophyta; Magnoliopsida; Solanales; Solanaceae
Exons: 2
Source: RefSeq, a predicted model, not a curated record